UACGGAGGAUGCGAGCGUUAUCCGGAUUUAUUGGGUUUAAAGGGUGCGUAGGCGGUCGGAUAAGUUAGAGGUGAAAUCCCGAGGCUCAACUUCGGAAUUGCCUCUGAUACUGUUCAGCUAGAGAGUAGUUGCGGUAGGCGGAAUGCGUGGUGUAGCGGUGAAAUGCAUAGAUAUCACGCAGAACCCCGAUUGCGAAGGCAGCAUGCCGGCUUCCGACUGACGCUGAAGCACGAAAGCGUGGGGAUCGAACAGG
Molecule: ribosomal RNA, 253 nt
Filed under: uncultured Rikenellaceae bacterium
Lineage: Bacteria; Pseudomonadati; Bacteroidota; Bacteroidia; Bacteroidales; Rikenellaceae
Description: partial 16S ribosomal RNA
Rfam family: Bacterial small subunit ribosomal RNA
Source: RNAcentral